This 96-nucleotide Y RNA is filed under the name Chlorocebus sabaeus (green monkey). RNAcentral describes it as "Y RNA (ENSCSAG00000024553.1)". It matches the Rfam family "Y RNA". From Rfam's summary of the family: Y RNAs are components of the Ro ribonucleoprotein particle (Ro RNP), in association with Ro60 and La proteins. The Y RNAs and Ro60 and La proteins are well conserved, but the function of the Ro RNP is not known. In humans the RNA component can be one of four small RNAs -- hY1, hY3, hY4 and hY5. Lineage: Eukaryota; Metazoa; Chordata; Mammalia; Primates; Cercopithecidae. The record is from Rfam by way of RNAcentral.
GGCUGGUCCAAAUGCAGUGGUUACAACUAACUGAUCACAGCCAGUUACAGAUUUCUUUGUUUCUUCACUCCUACUGCUUCACCUGACUAGCCUAAA